Molecule: transfer RNA, 76 nt
Filed under: Gammaproteobacteria bacterium
Lineage: Bacteria; Pseudomonadati; Pseudomonadota; Gammaproteobacteria
Description: tRNA-Ile
Rfam family: tRNA
About the family: Transfer RNA (tRNA) molecules are approximately 80 nucleotides in length.
Source: RNAcentral
GGGCCUGUAGCUCAGUGGUAAGAGCAGGUGGCUCAUAACCACUUGGUCGCAGGUUCGAAUCCUGCCGGGCCCACCA